CACCCAAUAGCUAGCCCAACCACCCAAACACAACAAACCCGUAUCAACUACACCCGAAUACCCCCAACUCCCUGCCUAAAACAUUUUUCCCCUUUAGUAUGGGCGACAGAAAAAGAACAAGGAGCGACAGAACCAGUACCGCAAGGGAAGGCUGAAAGAGAGCUGAAAUAGAACAGUAAAGUACAGCAAAGCAGAGCUUAGCCCUCGUACCUUUUGCAUCAUGAGUCAGCUAGUAUAAGCGAGCAAGAUGAGCCGCAGCUCCCCACCCCGAAACGAAGUGAGCUACUCCAGGACAGCCUAUUUAGGGCCAACCCGUCUCUGUGGCAAAAGAGUGGGAAGAUCUUUGAGUAGAAGUGACAGACUUACCGAACUUCGUUAUAGCUGGUUGUCCGGGAAAUGGAUAUAAGUUCAGCCCCCUAGUUUUUUCCGCUCACACACCAUACCAUGGCCGUAUGACAACGAAGACCCCAGGGGAGUUAUUCACAGGGGGUACAGCCCCUUUGAACAAAGAUACAACUUUUUAAGGAGGACAAGGAUUAUUAACCCCGAAGGGGUGGCGCCUCAGUGGGCCUAAGAGCAGCCAUCUGAAUAGAAAGCGUUAAAGCUCGAGCACAAACACCACCCGCAUAUCUCAAUAACCUCUUCCAAAGCCCCAAAACCCUACCGGACCCCCCUACUUAGUAGGAGAGAACAUGCUAACAUGAGUAAUAAGAGGUGCCCGCACCUCUCCCCGCACACGUGUACAUCAGAACGGACCCCCCGCCGAAAAUUAACGGACCCAAAGAAAGAGGGCAAUGACACACAGCAAACCAACUGGAAAACCAAUCAGCCCCGCCCGUUGACCCCACACCGGUGUGCCCUAGGGAAAGACUAAAAGAAAAAGAAGGAACUCGGCAAACUAAUAAAAGCCUCGCCUGUUUACCAAAAACAUCGCCUCUUGCACAACCGUUGUAGAAUAAGAGGUCGAGCCUGCCCAGUGACAUUAUGUUUAACGGCCGCAGUAUUUUAACUGUGCUAAGGUAGCGCAAUCACUUGUCUUUUAAAUGAGGACCUGUAUGAAAGGCGUGACGAGGGCUUAACUGUCUCCUUUUUCAGGUCAGUGAAAUUGAUCCCCCCGUGCAGAAGCGGGGAUCCGCCCAUAAGACGAGAAGACCCUGUGGAGCUUGAGACAUCCGAGCAGCCCAUGUAAACGGCCCCCUCCCAAGGAAGUUCAGCUCAAUGGCACCUGCCCCAAUGUCUUCGGUUGGGGCGACCAUGGGGAAUACCAAACCCCCAUGUAGACAGGGAGCACUAACGAGGGACAUCACCACCAAACCCACAACAGCACUCCUAGAAACCAGAGCUCCCGCUCUAGUUAACGAGACAUUCGACUCAGAUUGAUCCGGGUAAACCGAUCAACGAACCAAGUUACCCCAGGGAUAACAGCGCCAUCCCCUUCCAGAGCCCAUAUCGCCAAGGGGGUUUACGACCUCGAUGUUGGAUCAGGACAUCCUAAUGGUGCAACCGCUAUUAAGGGUUCGUUUGUUCAACGAUUAAAGUCCUACGUGAUCUGAGUUCAGACCGGAGCAAUCCAGGUCAGUUUCUAUCUAUGACACACCUUCUUCUAGUACGAAAGGACCGAAGAAGGGGGGCCCAUGCUUCGAAGCACGCCCAACCCCUAAAUGAUGAAACCAGCUAAACCAUAUAAAGGGGUGUAAAACCCACGCUUAGAUAUCAGCAU
Molecule: ribosomal RNA, 1720 nt
Filed under: Bothus robinsi (twospot flounder)
Lineage: Eukaryota; Metazoa; Chordata; Actinopteri; Pleuronectiformes; Bothidae
Description: 16S ribosomal RNA
Rfam family: Bacterial large subunit ribosomal RNA
Source: RNAcentral